Molecule: ribosomal RNA, 521 nt
Filed under: uncultured bacterium
Lineage: Bacteria
Description: bacterial SSU rRNA
Rfam family: Bacterial small subunit ribosomal RNA
Source: RNAcentral
AGAGUUUGAUUAUGGCUCAGGAUGAACGCUGGCGGCAGGCUUAAUACAUGCAAGUCGAACGGUAAGGUCCGAAGUGGCAACACGGAGGAUACACGAGUGGCGCACGGGUGCGUAACGCGUAUGCAACCUGCCCCCGACCGGGACAAAACAGCUGGAAACGGCUGCUAAUAUCCCAUGGUCAUGCGGAAGGGCAUCCUUCUUCAUGUAAAGAUUCAUUGGUCGGGGAUGGGCAUGCGUAUUAUUAGGUAGUUGGCGGGGUAACGGCCCACCAAGCCGACGAUGAUUAGGGGUCCUGAGAGGGUUAACCCCCACACUGGAACUGAGACACGGUCCAGACUCCUACGGGAGGCAGCAGUAGGGAAUAUUGGGCAAUGGGAGCAAUCCUGACCCAGCCAUGCCGCGUGAAGGAAGACGGCCCUAUGGGUUGUAAACUUCUUUUGCCGCAGAGUAAACCCGGUCACGAGUGGUCGGUUGAGAGUAUGCGGCGAAUAAGUAUCGGCUAACUCCGUGCCAGCAGCCGC